Triticum aestivum (bread wheat) is the source of this 2337-nucleotide RNA transcript. It is a transcript of the gene named protein ROOT PRIMORDIUM DEFECTIVE 1, with no coding region annotated. The record is from RefSeq and is a predicted model, not a curated record. Lineage: Eukaryota; Viridiplantae; Streptophyta; Magnoliopsida; Poales; Poaceae. The transcript has 2 exons.
GAGCAGGAGGCUCAGGGUUGGUCACGUUGGGCUUGGAUUUGCGACAGGGAUGAGCAGAGCACGGAUGGCCACGUCUGACAUCUGGCGAAGGCCGCCGCUCCAGGCUCCACGGGCACGGGGGAGUGAAGGAAGGAACGAGGCGACCGGUCGUGGUUAGGGUGGCGGGAGGGGCGGACGGACGGUGCGGAUCUCCCCAUCCUGCUAAUCUAGCGGCGACCGAACGAAGCAGCCAUUUUGGGUCUCACUCUCACCUCCGCCUUGUUCUGCUCACUCUGCUUUCCCUCGCGCCGAUACCACCGCCACCGCCACCGGUCGCGCCGUCGCCCUCGUCCUCUGCAGCCACCAGGCUCUGCCCCUAUCCUCUUUUCCUGCUUCCUCGCGCUUGCCCGUGACCACACUCCGCCGCCAGGCAGAGCUCGCUCCUAUCCACCCAGAGCGCAUCCUGUUCGACGAAAUGCCCAGCUCGCAGCCGUCCCUUGUUUCCCCAGUCGCAUCUGCAGCUGCACACAUGAUGCAUGCGUGCGCCUUGUCUCAGUAGGAAUUGGCAUUGCUACUUUCUCUAGAGAUUCAGUUUUUUCUUCGCAGCUGGGUAAGGAUUCAGUCUGUUAGCAUACAAGCAAGAUGGCAUCCAAGCUAUUCAGCCCAAAAAAUCUGCGCGUCUUCUCCCCGAGGCUGCACAUGCUGAACGAGGCGUUCUGUUACAGCCCGUUUAACCGUAGCAUGCAGAGGAGGUGGAAGAAGCCGGUGGACUCAGCACGAACCCGCCUGGAGAGCAGAACAAGGGACCAUAGGCUGGACAAGCUGAUGAUCCAGCUCAAGAACCUGAGGCUGGCCUUGGAUUUGCACGCCGUGAUAUCCCAGCAGAGGAAUGGCUACGCGUCGCUCCAGCUCCUUCUGAGGUGGAGGCGUGAGAUCGGCCUCAACACCGAGAUCGGCGCUUUCCUCAAGAAAUACCCCCACAUUUUCGAGAUCUACGUGCACCCUGUCAAAAGGAACCAUUGCUGCAGGAUCACCCGAAAGAUGGCUGAUUUGGUCGCCGAAGAAGAUGCUGUCAUCAGGGAAAAUGAGCCCGCCGUGGUUCAGCGGCUCAAGAAACUUCUCAUGAUGUCUACGGACGGAACUCUGAAUAUGCAUGCAUUAUGGCUCGUAAGGAAGGAGCUUGGCCUGCCCGAUGACUACAGGUCUUCUAUGCUGCCAAACCAUCAGUCUGAUUUUUCUCUUGAAACCCCUGAUACUCUGACAUUGAUCACCAGGGAUGAGAAUCUGGCUGUAGCUAAUGUCGAAGAAUGGAGGGACAAGGAGUAUACAGAAAAAUGGUUAGCGGAAUAUGAGACCAAAUAUGCUUUUCCAGUAAACUUCCCUACAGGCUUUAAGAUUGAGAAAGGUUUUAGGGAAAAGCUUAAGAAUUGGCAGAGGCUUCCCUACACCAAACCUUACGAGAAGAAUGAUUUGCAUCCAAUCACCAACUCUGAGAGGCUUGAGAAACGUAUUGUUGGUAUUCUUCAUGAACUCUUAAGCUCGACAGUCGAAAAGAUGGUGCCACUGGAGAGGUUGUCACACUUCAGGAGACCAUUUUCGAUGGAGGUAAACUUGCGGGAACUUCUUCUUAAGCACCCUGGCAUUUUCUACAUCUCGACGAAAGGAAGCACGCAAACUGUGCUUCUUAGGGAGAGUUAUAAUAAAGGAUGUUUGCUUGAGCCAAACCCUGUUUAUAGCGUGCAAAGGAAAAUGUUAGAUCUGAUUUUGGCUGGAUGCCGUGGCAUUGUUCAAACUGAAAAUGCCAUCUCACUUGUUGAGGAGGAUAGCCAGGGAAGCAGUCAUGGGUCACAGAAUCACACAUGCCAGGUGGAUAACAUGAAUUCCAUGUCACAGUUUGAAAGUGACUCCUCUGUAGAGUCAUUUUCUUGAGGAGUCUUUCUGUGACUCAGGUGAAAUAGGAUUUGGUGAAUUAAUGCAGUAAUGGGAGAAUCUGAAGCAUUCAGAAGACAACAAACAAGCUUUUGGCGCUCUCUGAAGUACAAGUAGUCAGGCAGGGGUUCCUAAACUUGAGUUGUCUUACAGCAAGUGCUCAAGUGUUCAUCCACUGCUCUGAAGCAAUGUAACCCGUAAAAAUAUCGCACCUUCAGAAGAUAAACAUGGGAAACUUUGAUUUUUAAGGUCAAACCAAAGCAUGUAAAUUAACCCUUCUAACUAGCGAAAUUAGCACCUGUGUGCAAUCCAUUGACACAUUUUUCUGUAACAGCAACCCACUUCUCCAAACUGAUCAUGGAUUUCUGCUUGGCUGUAAAUUUAUCACAGAUACUGUGGACAAUUUCAAAGGAAAGAAGGAAUGGCAAG